AUUGGGUUUAAAGGGAGCGUAGGCCGGAGAUUAAGCGUGUUGUGAAAUGUAGACGCUCAACGUCUGCACUGCAGCGCGAACUGGUUUCCUUGAGUACGCACAAAGUGGGCGGAAUUCGUGGUGUAGCGGUGAAAUGCUUAGAUAUCACGAGGAACUCCGAUUGCGAAGGCAGCUCACUGGAGCGCAACUGACGCUGAAGCUCGAAAGUGCGGGUAUCGAACAGGAUUAGAUACCCUGGUAGUCCGCACGGUAAACGAUGGAUGCCCGCUGUUGGUCUGAAUAGGUCAGCGGCCAAGCGAAAGCAUUAAGCAUCCCACCUGGGGAGUACGCCGGCAACGGUGAAACUCAAAGGAAUUGACGGGGGCCCGCACAAGCGGAGGAACAUGUGGUUUAAUUCGAUGAUACGCGAGGAACCUUACCCGGGCUUGAAUUGCAGAGGAAGGAUUUGGAGACAAUGACGCCCUUCGGGGCCUCUGUGAAGGUGCUGCAUGGUUGUCGUCAGCUCGUGCCGUGAGGUGUCGGCUUAAGUGCCAUAACGAGCGCAACCCCUCUCCUUAGUUGCCAUCAGGUUAAGCUGGGCACUCUGGGGACACUGCCACCGUAAGGUGUGAGGAAGGUGGGGAUGACGUCAAAUCAGCACGGCCCUUACGUCCGGGGCUACACACGUGUUACAAUGGCAGGUACAGAGAGACAGUCCCUUGCAAAAUGGAUCAAAUCCUUAAAGCCUGUCUCAGUUCGGACUGGGGUCUGCAACCCGACCCCAUGAAGCUGGAUUCGCUAGUAAUCGCGCAUCAGCCAUGGCGCGGUGAAUACGUUCCCGGGCCUUGUACACACCGCCCGUCAAGCCAUGAAAGCCGGGGGCGCCUAAAGUCCGUGACCGUAAGAGCGGCCUACGCGAAACUGGUAAUUGGGGCUAAGUCGUAACAAGGUAACCGUAAAGGGCGAAUUCUGCA
This 953-nucleotide ribosomal RNA is filed under the name uncultured Bacteroidota bacterium. RNAcentral's name for it is "bacterial SSU rRNA". It matches the Rfam family "Bacterial small subunit ribosomal RNA", at positions 553 to 1533 of the family's 1533-position model. The record is from RNAcentral. Lineage: Bacteria; Pseudomonadati; Bacteroidota.